AUGGAGGCGCCGGUGCGGGGGGUCCGGCUUCGGGGGCAGGG
This 41-nucleotide non-coding RNA is filed under the name Plasmodium falciparum 3D7. The record is from RNAcentral. Lineage: Eukaryota; Apicomplexa; Aconoidasida; Haemosporida; Plasmodiidae.